UGGGGAAUAUUGCACAAUGGGGGGAACCCUGAUGCAGCGAUGCCGCGUGGAGGAAGAAGGUUUUCGGAUUGUAAACUCCUGUCUUAAAGGACGAUAAUGACAGUACUUUAGGAGGAAGCUCCGGCUAACUACGUGCCAGCAGCCGCGGUAAUACGUAGGGAGCGAGCGUUGUCCGGAAUUACUGGGUGUAAAGGGAGCGUAGGCGGGAUCGCAAGUUAGAUGUGAAAUACAUGGGCUCAACCCAUGGGCUGCAUUUGAAACUGUGGUUCUUGAGUGAAGUAGAGGUAAGCGGAAUUCCUGGUGUAGCGGUGAAAUGCGUAGAUAUCAGGAGGAACACCGGUGGCGAAGGCGGCUUACUGGGCUUUUACUGACGCUGAGGCUCGAAAGCGUGGGGAGCAAACAGG
Molecule: ribosomal RNA, 404 nt
Filed under: uncultured bacterium
Lineage: Bacteria
Description: bacterial SSU rRNA
Rfam family: Bacterial small subunit ribosomal RNA
Source: RNAcentral